UCAAAUGUAUUUGUAAAGCUGUAAAAUUUC
This 30-nucleotide non-coding RNA is filed under the name Rattus norvegicus (Norway rat). The record is from RNAcentral. Lineage: Eukaryota; Metazoa; Chordata; Mammalia; Rodentia; Muridae.